RNAcentral lists this ribosomal RNA (470 nucleotides) under uncultured bacterium. RNAcentral's name for it is "partial 16S ribosomal RNA". It matches the Rfam family "Bacterial small subunit ribosomal RNA", at positions 28 to 507 of the family's 1533-position model. The record is from RNAcentral.
GACGAACGCUGGCGGCGUGCUUAACACAUGCAAGUCGAACGCUGAAGCACCAGCUUGCUGGUGUGGAUGAGUGGCGAACGGGUGAGUAAUACGUGAGUAACCUGCCCUUGACUCUGGGAUAAGCCCGGGAAACUGGGUCUAAUACUGGAUGCUACAUGUCACCGCAUGGUGGUGUGUGGAAAGGGUUUACUGGUCUUGGAUGGGCUCACGGCCUAUCAGCUUGUUGGUGAGGUAAUGGCUCACCAAGGCGGCGACGGGUAGCCGGCCUGAGAGGGUGACCGGCCACACUGGGACUGAGACACGGCCCAGACUCCUACGGGAGGCAGCAGUGGGGAAUAUUGCACAAUGGGCGAAAGCCUGAUGCAGCGGCGCCGCGUGAGGGAUGACGGCCUUCGGGUUGGAAACCUCUUUCAGUAGGGAAGAAGCCACAAGUGACGGUACCUGCAGAAGAAGCGCCGGCUAACUACGUG